ACACCCAAUAUGGGGCUUAAACUCACAACCCCAAGAUAAGAGUUACAUGCUCCACUGACUGAGCCAGUCAGCUACUCCCUGAUUAAAGCUGUUUCUUAAACGACCAAGCCACCCAGGUGGCCCCCCCUUUUCUUAAUGUCUCUCCCACCUUGACUGUCAUCUCUGAGGACAGAGACCAUGUCUGCUUUUCAUUACUUUACCCUGGCACUUUGCACAGUCCUUGGCACACAUUAGGCACUUCAUGGAUAUUUCUUAAAUGAUGGGAACGGGGUUCUUGUUUGUUCUCAGCUGCAUCUCGCAUGCCCAGAGCACAGCUUAGCACACUGUAGGUUCUCAACCGCUAUUUACUGAAGGAAUGGAUGGGGUAUUUGCCUGGGAAUGACAUCCUUUGCUCAUAAAUAAUAGGUGACUGAUAAAACCUCAGAGGCGGAAGUGGUGUGGAUGAUGGGUUUUCUGAGAAACUCAACAGCUAACACCCACUGAGCUCAUUUAAGCCUCAGACACUAUGUGAGCUGCUUACCCUGCACCAUUUUAUCUCAGGAAUCCUAGAAGUGGACAUUUUUAUCUUCAGCGAGGGGCCUAUCAGGAACACACUUUUGACAGGAACAUUGCUGGAGCACCUAAGAUCACAGUGGGACCAGCCAAAAGAAUCUUGCAGGGAAGAGGAGCAUGUGCUGGCGGGACAUUACUUAGACCCCUGGAUGUACAGGACCAAGGCCACUGCCCAAUGUCAACUGUAGAAGUUCCCUUUAUCUACCACCGGAUGUCAUACAGGUCCAGGCCUUGGGGACCCCACACUUCUCAGCCUUGGUGAGCAUCAGCAUCCCUUGGGAGCUUGCCAGGGAGGCAUGUCCCCAGGCCCCCCCUCCUGAGGGCUAAAUGAGAAUCUCUAGGGGCAGGGCUGGAGAAUCUGCAUGUUUGUUUGUUUAUUUGUUUAAAGAUUGUAUUUAUUUAUUUAUUUAUUUGAGAGAGAGAGAGAGAGAAAGCACGAGAGUGAGGAGGGUCAGAGGGAGAAGCAGACUCCCUGCUGGGCAGGGAGCCCAAGGCAGCACUCUGGGAUUGUGACCUGAGCAGAAGGCAAAUGCUUAACUGACUGAGCCACCCAGGCGUCUGAGAAUCUGCAUGUGUAACAAGAUUCCCCAAGCUGGUACUGAUGUCGGCAGCCACAGGCCACACAUUGAGAAACUCCUCUAGGAGGGUAGGGAGCCAGUGCUCGGUGUUUAGAAUACAGGAAGUGAAGGCCCACCUCCACAUCAUAUUAAAUGCUCAUGGAAUUCAUCUUCAGUGAGAGGCUGAGGUCUGGGGUGGGGGAGUGGUGAAGAGACACAUCCAUUGGUGUUUUUACCUCUUCUCAGUGCCCUACAGCAAUCGUAACCCAAAGGUGUGACAAUUCAAGUGGGUUCAUCAUGCAAAUUUUUCUUCCCAUGUCCCAGUUGGUAUUAGGAUUCGCUUUUCCUGAAAGUGGCUUAUAAACCCAGAUUUCUGCUAGAGGCAUUGCCCUCCCCACCCCCGCCCCCAGUUUGGUCACUUAAACCUUCUAAAAAUGUAUCAAUGUCAGGCUCCAGUGACUAAUCCAUCCCAAAUGCAGGAAGGACAGGGGGUGAGGCAUAAUCCCCCCUAAUCCGGUUAUGUGCCACCCACCCCUCUCUAGUCUGCGUGACUGUCUUGGUAAACUUCGGUUUGUGACGCAGUGUGGAAGAAAUCCUUGAAGCAUAUGGAGUGCCAAGUAGGUAUUAAAUUCUGGCCCUUGGUUCCUCAAGAAAACUAGCAACUCAAAAGCAAGUCAAACUUGUCAGUGAGAUCCAGGACCAUUUCUGUGUGCCUGACAACUGAAG
Molecule: long non-coding RNA, 1835 nt
Organism: Ailuropoda melanoleuca (giant panda)
Lineage: Eukaryota; Metazoa; Chordata; Mammalia; Carnivora; Ursidae
Exons: 3
Source: RefSeq, a predicted model, not a curated record